Molecule: ribosomal RNA, 113 nt
Filed under: uncultured bacterium
Lineage: Bacteria
Description: partial 16S ribosomal RNA
Rfam family: Bacterial small subunit ribosomal RNA
Source: RNAcentral
CCUACGGGAGGCAGCAGUGGGGAAUNUUGNGCAAUGGGGGCAAGCNUGAUGCAGCCAUGCCGCGUGAGUCAAGAAGGCCUUCGGGUUGUAAAGCACUUUCAGUNGGAGGAAAG